Molecule: ribosomal RNA, 482 nt
Filed under: uncultured bacterium
Lineage: Bacteria
Description: partial 16S ribosomal RNA
Rfam family: Bacterial small subunit ribosomal RNA
Source: RNAcentral
AUUGAACGCUGGCGGCAUGCCUUACACAUGACAGUCGAACGGUAACGGGCCUUCGGGUGCCGACGAGUGGAGAACGGGUGAGUAAUACAUCGGAACGCGCCCGAUCGUGGGGGAUAACGAGGCGAAAGCUUUGCUAAUACCGCAUACGAUCUACGGAUGAAAGCAGGGGACGGCAAGGCUUUGCGCGGACGGAGCGGCCGAUGGCAGAUUAGGUAGUUGGUGGGAUAAAAGCUUACAAAGCCGACGAUCUGUAGCUGGUCUGAGAGGAUGAUCAGCCACACUGGAACUGAGACACGGCCCAGGCUCCUACGGGAGGCAGCAGUGGGGAAUGUUGGACAAUGGGCGCAAGCCUGAUCCAGCCAUGCCGCGUGCAAGAUGAAGGCCUUCGGGUUGUAAACUGCUUUUGUACGGAACGAAAAGCCUUCUUUUAAUACAGGGGGGUCAUGACGGUACCGGAAGAAUAAGCACCGGCUAACUACGUG